GAUGGAUGGAUGGAUGGAUGGACAACAAGAGGACGUUUGAAAAGUACAGGAUAAUGGAAACAUGGAUAAAACGUGGCAUCGAGGAUUGUGCUGGCGUUUAAGUGCUAUACGAAUGCUGCUCUUCCAUCCACGUUCUUCAAAGCUAAAGAUGGACGGAGACCGUAAGUGAUUUAGUCUGAAAAUUUCCCCCGUUUUCUCAGAGGGCCGUGCUCUCCAGCAGAUAGAGAUAUGGCUUCCUGUUACAUAAUCCUCUGCUCUUAUAAAUUUUGACUUCAUUUUGUGUUUCCUGUGUGUGUG
This is a long non-coding RNA of Ictalurus punctatus (channel catfish), 297 nucleotides long. The record is from Ensembl. NCBI's taxonomy places the organism in Eukaryota, Metazoa, Chordata, Actinopteri, Siluriformes, Ictaluridae.